UACGGAGGGUGCAAGCGUUAUCCGGAAUCACUGGGUUUAAAGGGUGCGUAGGCGGGCUAUUAAGUCAGUGGUGAAAGCUCCCGGCCCAACCGGGAAAUUGCCAUUGAUACUGGUAGCCUUGAGUGCGGUUGAGGUGGGCGGAAUACAGCAUGUAGCGGUGAAAUGCUUAGAUAUGCUGUAGAACACCGAUUGCGAAGGCAGCUCACUAAACCGAUACUGACGCUGAGGCACGAAAGCGUGGGGAUCGAACAGG
RNAcentral lists this ribosomal RNA (253 nucleotides) under uncultured bacterium. Its description in RNAcentral is "partial 16S ribosomal RNA". It matches the Rfam family "Bacterial small subunit ribosomal RNA", at positions 524 to 776 of the family's 1533-position model. The record is from RNAcentral.